AGGACAAACGCUGGCGGCGUGCAUAACACAUGCAAGUCGAACGAGUGCAGCAAUGCACGAGUGGCGGACGGGUGAGGAACACGUGGAUGACCGACCUUUUACUGGGGAAUACCCGUGGGAAACCACGGCUAAUACCGCAUACGUUCGAGAGAAGAAAGCCUUCGGGCGGUAAGAGACGGGUCUGCGGUCGAUUAGCUAGUUGGUGCGGUAACGGCCUCCCAAGGCGACGAUCGGUAGCUGGUCUGAGAGGACGAUCAGCCACACUGGGAUUGAGAACGGCCCAGACUCCUACGGGGGGCAGCAGUGAGGAAUUUUCCGCAAUGGACGAAAGUCUGACGGAGCAACGCCGCGUGCAGGAGGAAGGUUUUCGGAUCGUAAACUGCUUUUCUCGGGGACGAGCAAGGACGGUACCCGAGGAAGAAGCCCCGGCUAACUACGUGCCAGCAGCCGC
Molecule: ribosomal RNA, 451 nt
Filed under: uncultured bacterium
Lineage: Bacteria
Description: SSU rRNA
Rfam family: Bacterial small subunit ribosomal RNA
Source: RNAcentral